UACGUAGGGUGCGAGCGUUAAUCGGAAUUACUGGGCGUAAAGUGUGCGCAGGCGGCAAAGCAAGUCGAGUGUGAAAGCCCCGGGCUUAACUUGGGAAUUGCGCUCGAAACUACUUUGCUGGAGUGUGGCAGAGGAAGGUGGAAGUUCACGUGAUAGCGGUGGAAAUACGGUAGAGAUAGUGGAGGAACACCGAAAGGCCGCAAAGG
RNAcentral lists this ribosomal RNA (206 nucleotides) under uncultured bacterium. Its description in RNAcentral is "partial 16S ribosomal RNA". It matches the Rfam family "Bacterial small subunit ribosomal RNA", at positions 524 to 721 of the family's 1533-position model. The record is from RNAcentral.